AGCUUUAUAUUCAAUUAUGAUAUAAAAUUGCAAAUUUUAAGGUAUAAUUUAAAAUUAUUAAGGCUU
Molecule: transfer RNA, 66 nt
Filed under: Herpetogramma luctuosalis
Lineage: Eukaryota; Metazoa; Arthropoda; Insecta; Lepidoptera; Crambidae
Description: tRNA-Cys
Source: RNAcentral